Molecule: ribosomal RNA, 155 nt
Filed under: uncultured bacterium
Lineage: Bacteria
Description: partial 16S ribosomal RNA
Rfam family: Bacterial small subunit ribosomal RNA
Source: RNAcentral
UGGGGAAUAUUGCACAAUGGGCGCAAGCCUGAUGCAGCGACGCCGCGUGCGGGAUGGAGGGCCUUCGGGUUGUAAACCGCUUUUGUUCAAGGGCAAGGCAGGCUUUCGGGCCUGUUGAGUGGAUUGUUCGAAUAAGCACCGGCUAACUACGUGCC